GCAAGGCUGGAGUUAUGAAGAGAGCCCAGGAACAGGCUACUGGUGAAAGUGCAGCUCAGUUGUAGAGUGAGACCCCUGUAUUUUGGCGAUGCCAGUGCCAUUGGGUGACUUCCAAGAACAGCAGUAUCAGUUGAUGGAGCCAGCCUGAGCUUUGGAGACAAUUUUUGUUGGCUGCAGUGGGUGGAGCCAAAGAAGUGACCCGGCAUUUUAGAGGAACCCAGAUGCAACGGAUGGAAGUAGAUGCAGAGACCAACUGCCAAACACAAGGUGGAUCCAGGGGAAUCCCACAGAAAGGAAUGGAGAGGGGAUUGCAGGAGCCAGUGAAGUCAAGGACAUCAUGAGAACACAGCCCACAGAAUCAACUAAGCAGAGCUUAUAAGGAAUCACAGAGACUAAAGUAACAAUCAUGGAGCUUGUAUGGAUCUGAGCUAGGUCCUCUGCAUAUGUGUUAUGGUUGUAUAGCUGUGUGUUCUUGUGGAACUUCUAACAAUGGGUGUGGGGGGAGUGUCUCUGACUCUUUUGCCUGCAUUUGGGACCUUUAUCCUCCUAAUAGGUUUUCUCAUCUAGCCCUGGUAAGAGGCUUUGUGCCUAGUCUUAUUGUGACUUGUUAGGCGAUGUUUGGUUGAUAACCCUGGUAGGCUUGCUCUUUUUUAAGGAAAAUGUGAAUCUGGGAAAGAGGGGAGUAGGGGGAGGACUGGGAAAAGUGUAGGGAGGUGAAAAUGUUAUCAGGAUGUCAUUUAUGAGAGAAUAAUAAAAGAAAAGAGAGA
This is a long non-coding RNA of Mesocricetus auratus (golden hamster), 767 nucleotides long. RefSeq lists it as uncharacterized. The record is from RefSeq and is a predicted model, not a curated record. NCBI's taxonomy places the organism in Eukaryota, Metazoa, Chordata, Mammalia, Rodentia, Cricetidae. The transcript has 2 exons.